Molecule: transfer RNA, 77 nt
Filed under: Escherichia coli
Lineage: Bacteria; Pseudomonadati; Pseudomonadota; Gammaproteobacteria; Enterobacterales; Enterobacteriaceae
Description: tRNA-Arg
Rfam family: tRNA
About the family: Transfer RNA (tRNA) molecules are approximately 80 nucleotides in length.
Source: RNAcentral
GUGGCAUUAGCUCAGUCGGACAGAGCAACCGCCUUCUAAGCGGUUGGUUGCAGGUUCGAAUCCUGCAUGCCACGCCA